CGCUUUGAGAGGAGCCUGUGUCCUAUCAGCUUGUUGGUAAGGUAAAGGCUUACCAAGGCUAUGACGGGUAGGGGGCGUGAGAGCGUGAUCCCCAACAUUGGAACUGAGACACUGUCCAAACACCUACGGGUGGCUGCAGUCGAGAAUAUUCCACAAUGGGCGAAAGCCUGAUGGAGCGACGCCGCGUGCGGGAUGAAGGCCUUUGGGUUGUAAACCGCUUUUGUAAGGGAAGAAUCCGUGCUUCACUUUUGUUCAGCACGAAAUUUUUAAUUUUCAAUGAAUUUUGAAUGUAUUAAUUUCCAAAUUUUUUAAACAUUUGAGAAUUUAAAUAUCAAGAAUUUAAUUAGAAAUUUCGUGGCGAGCGGGAGCGAGGUACGGUCUGACGGUACCUUGCGAAUAAGAGGUUGCUAACUCUGUGCCAGCAGCAGCGGUAAUACAGAGACCUCAAGCGUUAUCCGGAUUUAUUGGGCGUAAAGAGCAUGUAGGCGGCUUUGUUAGUCAGAUGUCAAAUCUCCGAGCUUAACUCGGAAACUGCAUUUGAAACGGCAAAGCUAGAGGAAGUGAGGGACCAGUGGAACGUAUGGUGUAGUAGUGAAAUGCGUUGAUAUCAUACGGAACAUCAAAGGCGAAGGCAUCUGGUUGGCACUUUUCUGACGCUGAGAUGCGAAAGCGUGGGUAGCGAAUGGGAUUAGAUACCCCAGU
This 702-nucleotide ribosomal RNA is filed under the name Candidatus Moranbacteria bacterium CG_4_9_14_3_um_filter_33_15. Its description in RNAcentral is "bacterial SSU rRNA". It matches the Rfam family "Bacterial small subunit ribosomal RNA", at positions 216 to 791 of the family's 1533-position model. Lineage: Bacteria; Candidatus Moraniibacteriota. The record is from RNAcentral.